GUAACACGUGGGUAACCUGCCCUAAAGUGGGGGAUAACAUUUGGAAACAGAUGCUAAUACCGCAUAAAACCUAACACCGCAUGGUGUACGGUUGAAAGAUGGUUUCGGCAAUCACUUUAGGAUGGACCCGCGGUGCAUAAGUUAGUUGGUGAGGUAAAGGCUCACCAAGACCGUGAUGCAUAGCCGACCUGAGAGGUUAAUCGGCCACACUGGGACUGAGACACGGCCCAGACUCCUACGGGAGGCAGCAGUAGGGAAUCUUCCACAAUGGACGAAAGUCUGAUGGAGCAACGCCGCGUGAGUGAAGAAGGUUUUCGGAUCGUAAAACUCUGUUGUUGGAGAAGAAUGUAUCUGAUAGUAACUGAUCAGGUAGUGACGGUAUCCAACCAGAAAGCCACGGCUAACUACGUGCCAGCAGCCGCGGUAAUACGUAGGUGGCAAGCGUUGUCCGGAUUUAUUGGGCGUAAAGCGAGCGCAGGCGGUUUCUUAGGUCUGAUGUGAAAGCCUUCGGCUCAACCGAAGAAGUGCAUCGGAAACUGGGAAACUUGAGUGCAGAAGAGGACAGUGGAACUCCAUGUGUAGCGGUGAAAUGCGUAGAUAUAUGGAAG
RNAcentral lists this ribosomal RNA (608 nucleotides) under uncultured Bacilli bacterium. RNAcentral describes it as "bacterial SSU rRNA". It matches the Rfam family "Bacterial small subunit ribosomal RNA", at positions 110 to 704 of the family's 1533-position model. The record is from RNAcentral. Lineage: Bacteria; Bacillati; Bacillota; Bacilli.